UUAGCAGAGGCGGUCCCAACGAUGUCCCCAUCGACCCGAAGGUCAAGCUGGCAAUUGUUGGCGUGGGUCUCGCUCGUUGCCUGACUAAACAGGAUGCUUCACAGUACGAACUGACGACGGCCAUGCACCUCCUCUCAGCUAGUCAAGUAGAGUCUUCAUCCCGACUAUCAUUCAGCUGUCUUAUCCGGUGAGAUUCCCGGCGUUGAGUCCGAUUAAACCGCAGGCUCCACCCGUUGUGGUGCUCCCCCGCCAAUUCCUUUAAGUUUCAGCCUUGCGACCGUACUCCCCAGGCGGCGCAUUUCACGGUUUCCCUUCGGCACCUCAGUGACACGUGGUCACUGACACACCUAAUGCGCAUAGUUUACAGCUGGGACUACCCGGGUAUCUAAUCCGGUUUGCUCCCCCAGCUUUCGUCCCUCACUGUCGGAGCCGUUCUGGUGAGAUGCCUUCGCCAUAGGUCGUCCCACCGGGAUUACAGGAUUUCACUCCUACCCCGGCAGUACCUCUCACCUCUCCCGGUCCCUAGAACUGCAGUUUCCCCUGAACGCCCAUCAGUUAAGCCGAUGGAUUUCUCAAGGGACACACAGAUCCAGCUACGGACCCUUUAAGCCCAGUAAAAGCGGCCACCACUCGAGCCGCCGGUAUUACCGCGGCGGCUGGCACCGGUCUUGCCCGGCCCUUUCUUCACCAGUUGUUUACACUGGUGGACAGCCACCCUGUGGUGGCACUCGGGGUUUCCUUAUCACGGUUGCCCGCAUUGUAAAGUUUUCGCGCCUGCUGCGCCCCGUAGGGCCUGGAUUCGUGUCUCAGAAUCCAUCUCCGGGCUCUUGCUCCCACAACCCGUACCGAUUACAGGCUUGUUGGGCUUUUACCCCAACAACUACCUAAUCGGCCGCAGACUCAUCCUGAAGCGACGGAUCUUUCAUCCGGAGAACAUUCCAGUCCUCCCGGACUAUAGAGCAUUACCCCCAGUUUCCCGGGAUUAUUCUCUUCUUCAGGGCAGAUUGUCC
RNAcentral lists this ribosomal RNA (1010 nucleotides) under uncultured archaeon. RNAcentral's name for it is "partial 16S ribosomal RNA". The record is from RNAcentral.